GUUAUAUGGUCAAGUGAAGAAGCGCAUACGGUGGAUGCCUUGGCAGUCAGAGGCGAUGAAAGACGUGGUAGCCUGCGAAAAGCUUCGGGGAGUCGGCAAACAGACUGUGAUCCGGAGAUGUCUGAAUGGGGGAACCCAGCCAUCACAAGAUGGUUAUCUUGUACUGAAUACAUAGGUGCAAGAGGCGAACCAGGGGAACUGAAACAUCUAAGUACCCUGAGGAAAAGAAAUCAACCGAGAUUCCCUUAGUAGUGGCGAGCGAACGGGGACCAGCCCUUAAGUUGUAUUGAGAUUAGCGGAACACUCUGGAAAGGGUGGCCAUAGUGGGUGAUAGCCCUGUACGCGAAAAUCCCUUUGCAAUGAAAUCGAGUAGGACGGGGCACGAGAAACCUUGUCUGAAUAUGGGGGGACCAUCCUCCAAGGCUAAAUACUACUGACUGACCGAUAGUGAACCAGUACCGUGAGGGAAAGGCGAAAAGAACCGCGGAGAGCGGAGUGAAAUAGAUCCUGAAACCGUAUGCGUACAAGCAGUGGGAGCCCACUUUGUUGGGUGACUGCGUACCUUUUGUAUAAUGGGUCAGCGACUUAUUUUCAGUGGCGAGCUUAACCGAAUAGGGGAGGCGUAGCGAAAGCGAGUCUUAAUAGGGCGUCUAGUCGCUGGGAAUAGACCCGAAACCGGGCGAUCUAUCCAUGGGCAGGUUGAAGGUUGGGUAACACUAACUGGAGGACCGAACCGACUACCGUUGAAAAGUUAGCGGAUGACCUGUGGAUCGGAGUGAAAGGCUAAUCAAGCUCGGAGAUAGCUGGUUCUCCUCGAAAGCUAUUUAGGUAGCGCCUCAUGUAUCACUGUAGGGGGUAGAGCACUGUUUCGGCUAGGGGGUCAUCCCGACUUACCAAACCGAUGCAAACUCCGAAUACCUACAAGUGCCGAGCAUGGGAGACACACGGCGGGUGCUAACGUCCGUCGUGAAAAGGGAAACAACCCAGACCGUCAGCUAAGGUCCCAAAGUCAUGGUUAAGUGGGAAACGAUGUGGGAAGGCUUAGACAGCUAGGAGGUUGGCUUAGAAGCAGCCACCCUUUAAAGAAAGCGUAAUAGCUCACUAGUCGAGUCGGCCUGCGCGGAAGAUGUAACGGGGCUCAAACCAUGCACCGAAGCUACGGGUAUCAUCUUUUGAUGAUGCGGUAGAGGAGCGUUCUGUAAGCCUGUGAAGGUGAGUUGAGAAGCUUGCUGGAGGUAUCAGAAGUGCGAAUGCUGACAUGAGUAACGAUAAUGGGUGUGAAAAACACCCACGCCGAAAGACCAAGGUUUCCUGCGCAACGUUAAUCGACGCAGGGUUAGUCGGUCCCUAAGGCGAGGCUGAAAAGCGUAGUCGAUGGAAAACAGGUUAAUAUUCCUGUACUUCUGGUUAUUGCGAUGGAGGGACGGAGAAGGCUAGGCCAGCCUGGCGUUGGUUGUCCAGGUUUAAGGUGGUAGGCUGAGAUCUUAGGUAAAUCCGGGAUCUUAAGGCCGAGAGCUGAUGACGAGUGUUCUUUUAGAACACGAAGUGGUUGAUGCCAUGCUUCCAAGAAAAGCUUCUAAGCUUCAGGUAACCAGGAACCGUACCCCAAACCGACACAGGUGGUUGGGUAGAGAAUACCAAGGCGCUUGAGAGAACUCGGGUGAAGGAACUAGGCAAAAUGGCACCGUAACUUCGGGAGAAGGUGCGCCGGUGGAGGUGAAGCAUUUACUGCGUAAGCCCCUGCCGGUCGAAGAUACCAGGCCGCUGCGACUGUUUAUUAAAAACACAGCACUCUGCAAACACGAAAGUGGACGUAUAGGGUGUGACGCCUGCCCGGUGCCGGAAGGUUAAUUGAUGGGGUUAGCGCAAGCGAAGCUCUUGAUCGAAGCCCCGGUAAACGGCGGCCGUAACUAUAACGGUCCUAAGGUAGCGAAAUUCCUUGUCGGGUAAGUUCCGACCUGCACGAAUGGCGUAACGAUGGCGGCGCUGUCUCCACCCGAGACUCAGUGAAAUUGAAAUCGCUGUGAAGAUGCAGUGUAUCCGCGGCUAGACGGAAAGACCCCGUGAACCUUUACUAUAGCUUUGCACUGGACUUUGAAUUUGCUUGUGUAGGAUAGGUGGGAGGCUUUGAAGCGUGGACGCCAGUCUGCGUGGAGCCAACCUUGAAAUACCACCCUGGCAACUUUGAGGUUCUAACUCAGGUCCGUUAUCCGGAUCGAGGACAGUGUAUGGUGGGUAGUUUGACUGGGGCGGUCUCCUCCUAAAGAGUAACGGAGGAGUACGAAGGUGCGCUCAGACCGGUCGGAAAUCGGUCGUAGAGUAUAAAGGCAAAAGCGCGCUUGACUGCGAGACAGACACGUCGAGCAGGUACGAAAGUAGGUCUUAGUGAUCCGGUGGUUCUGUAUGGAAGGGCCAUCGCUCAACGGAUAAAAGGUACUCCGGGGAUAACAGGCUGAUACCGCCCAAGAGUUCAUAUCGACGGCGGUGUUUGGCACCUCGAUGUCGGCUCAUCACAUCCUGGGGCUGAAGCCGGUCCCAAGGGUAUGGCUGUUCGCCAUUUAAAGUGGUACGCGAGCUGGGUUUAGAACGUCGUGAGACAGUUCGGUCCCUAUCUGCCGUGGACGUUUGAGAUUUGAGAGGGGCUGCUCCUAGUACGAGAGGACCGGAGUGGACGAACCUCUGGUGUUCCGGUUGUCACGCCAGUGGCAUUGCCGGGUAGCUAUGUUCGGAAAAGAUAACCGCUGAAAGCAUCUAAGCGGGAAACUUGCCUCAAGAUGAGAUCUCACUGGAACCUUGAGUUCCCUAAAGGGCCGUCGAAGACUACGACGUUGAUAGGUUGGGUGUGUAAGCGCUGUGAGGCGUUGAGCUAACCAAUACUAAUUGCCCGUGAGGCUUGACCAUAUAACACCCAAGCAAUU
This 2918-nucleotide ribosomal RNA is filed under the name Pseudomonas congelans. RNAcentral describes it as "23S ribosomal RNA". It matches the Rfam family "Bacterial large subunit ribosomal RNA". The record is from RNAcentral. Lineage: Bacteria; Pseudomonadati; Pseudomonadota; Gammaproteobacteria; Pseudomonadales; Pseudomonadaceae.